CCCUUAGAUGUUCUGGGCCGCACGCGCGCUACACUGUUCGACGCAGCGAGUCUUAACCUUGACCGAAAGGUUUGGGUAAUCUUCAGCAAAGUCGAACGUGAUGGGGAUCGAUCAUUGCAAUUAUUGAUCGUGAACGAGGAAUUCCUAGUAAGUGCAAGUCUUCAGCUUGCGCUGAUUACGUCCCUGCCCUUUGUACACACCGCCCGUCGCUACUACCGAUUGAAUGGUUUAGUGAGAUCUCUGGAUUGACGCUGGCUAGGGGGCGACCCUUGGCCAGGCUGUCGAGAAACUGCUCAAACUUGAUCAUUUAGAGGAAGUAAAAGUCGUAACA
RNAcentral lists this ribosomal RNA (331 nucleotides) under uncultured eukaryote. RNAcentral describes it as "partial 18S ribosomal RNA". It matches the Rfam family "Eukaryotic small subunit ribosomal RNA", at positions 1470 to 1796 of the family's 1831-position model. The record is from RNAcentral.